AGUGGCGGACGGGUGAGUAACACGUAGGAAUCUGCCCAGUAGUGGGGGACAACCCGGGGAAACCCGGGCUAAUACCGCAUACGCCCUACGGGGGAAAGCGGGGGAUCUUCGGACCUCGCGCUAUUGGAUGAGCCUACGUCCGAUUAGCUUGUUGGUGAGGUAACGGCUCACCAAGGCGACGAUCGGUAGCUGGUCUGAGAGGACGAUCAGCCACACUGGGACUGAGACACGGCCCAGACUCCUACGGGAGGCAGCAGUGGGGAAUAUUGGACAAUGGGCGAAAGCCUGAUCCAGCAAUGCCGCGUGUGUGAAGAAGGCCCUAGGGUUGUAAAGCACUUUCAGUGGGGAAGAAACGCAGGGUGUUAAUACCACCCUGUAAUGACGUUACCCACAGAAGAAGCACCGGCUAACUCCGUGCCAGCAGCCGCGGUAAUACGGAGGGUGCAAGCG
RNAcentral lists this ribosomal RNA (450 nucleotides) under uncultured bacterium. RNAcentral describes it as "bacterial SSU rRNA". It matches the Rfam family "Bacterial small subunit ribosomal RNA", at positions 94 to 540 of the family's 1533-position model. The record is from RNAcentral.